UACGGAAGGCAGCAGUAGGGAAUCUUCCGCAAUGGACGAAAGUCUGACGGAGCAACGCCGCGUGAACGAUGAAGGCUUUCGGGUCCGUAAGUUCUGUUGUUAGGGAGACAAGUACCGGAGUAACUGCCGGUACCUUGACGGUACCUAACCAGAAGCCACGGCUAACUACGUGCCAGCAGCCGCGGUAAUACGUAGGUGGCAAGCGUUGUCCGGAAUUAUUGGGCGUAAAGCGCGCGCAGGCGGUCCUUUAAGUCUGAUGUGAAAGCCCACGGCUCAACCGUGGAGGGUCAUUGGGAAACUGGGGGACUUGAGUGCAGAAGAGGAGAGUGGAAUUCCACGUGUAGCGGUGAAAUGCGUAGAGAUGUGGAGGAACACCAGUGGCGAAGGCGACUCUCUGGUCUGUAACUGACGCUGAGGCGCGAAAGCGUGGGGAGCGAACAGGGAUUAGAUACC
This 453-nucleotide ribosomal RNA is filed under the name uncultured bacterium. RNAcentral's name for it is "bacterial SSU rRNA". It matches the Rfam family "Bacterial small subunit ribosomal RNA", at positions 340 to 786 of the family's 1533-position model. The record is from RNAcentral.